Molecule: small nucleolar RNA, 73 nt
Organism: Bufo bufo (common toad)
Lineage: Eukaryota; Metazoa; Chordata; Amphibia; Anura; Bufonidae
Product: small nucleolar RNA SNORD83
Exons: 1
Source: RefSeq, a predicted model, not a curated record
GCCAUAUGAUGUAUGCGAACGGUCAUGAACUUUGUGAUGGUGACAUUUAUCUAUCACCCAGUAACUGAUGGCU